This 301-nucleotide ribosomal RNA is filed under the name uncultured bacterium. Its description in RNAcentral is "partial 16S ribosomal RNA". It matches the Rfam family "Bacterial small subunit ribosomal RNA", at positions 509 to 807 of the family's 1533-position model. The record is from RNAcentral.
CAGCAGCCGCGGUAAUACGGAGGGUGCAAGCGUUAAUCGGAAUUACUGGGCGUAAAGCGCACGCAGGCGGUUUGUUAAGUCAGAUGUGAAAUCCCCGGGCUUAACCUGGGAACUGCGCUUGUGACUGCACAGCUAGAGUGUGUCAGAGGAUGGUGGAAUUCCCGGUGUAGCGGUGAAAUGCGUAGAGAUCGGGAGGAACAUCAGUGGCGAAGGCGGCCAUCUGGGACAACACUGACGCUGAGGCACGAAGGCGUGGGGAGCAAACAGGAUUAGAUACCCCGGUAGUCCCUGUCUCUUAUAC